RNAcentral lists this long non-coding RNA (421 nucleotides) under Gallus gallus (chicken). RNAcentral describes it as "lncRNA (ENSGALG00010001576.1)". The record is from RNAcentral. Lineage: Eukaryota; Metazoa; Chordata; Aves; Galliformes; Phasianidae.
CGGCCCCGGGGAGAACCCCGCCGGGGGGCAUCCCGCGGCCUCGGCGGCCUUUCUGACGCUCGCAUCUUUUUCUGAUUUACGCCGUUCGGUCGCUUUGCCGUAAACUCAGUGGGUCUCGCCGGGAGCCGGUUCACGCAGAGGUUGAGCAGAUGGCUCGCGUUCUGACAUGCCGCUGACCCGGGCCGAGGGGAAAACAGAGCCAGACGGCCCGCGGGCUUUGCGGGCAGAGGGGCAGCCGAGCACGGCGGCUGGGGAGCGGGGGGCACACCCAGCCCGCUGCGGGCCGACGUAACGGGGGGCACCGGUAACCGUGAGGCUCAGGUAACCGGGGGGCUCAGGCAAAUGACGUCACUGUAGGGCUGAGGUAACCGGGGGGCUCAGGCAAAUGACGUCACUGUAGGGCUGAAGUAACCGGGGGGGG